RNAcentral lists this ribosomal RNA (1095 nucleotides) under Vibrio sp. 755M. Its description in RNAcentral is "bacterial SSU rRNA". It matches the Rfam family "Bacterial small subunit ribosomal RNA", at positions 388 to 1477 of the family's 1533-position model. The record is from RNAcentral. Lineage: Bacteria; Pseudomonadati; Pseudomonadota; Gammaproteobacteria; Vibrionales; Vibrionaceae.
GCAGCCAUGCCGCGUGUGUGAAGAAGGCCUUCGGGUUGUAAAGCACUUUCAGUCGUGAGGAAGGUGGUGGUGUUAAUAGCAUUAUCAUUUGACGUUAGCGACAGAAGAAGCACCGGCUAACUCCGUGCCAGCAGCCGCGGUAAUACGGAGGGUGCGAGCGUUAAUCGGAAUUACUGGGCGUAAAGCGCAUGCAGGUGGUUUGUUAAGUCAGAUGUGAAAGCCCGGGGCUCAACCUCGGAAUAGCAUUUGAAACUGGCAGACUAGAGUACUGUAGAGGGGGGUAGAAUUUCAGGUGUAGCGGUGAAAUGCGUAGAGAUCUGAAGGAAUACCGGUGGCGAAGGCGGCCCCCUGGACAGAUACUGACACUCAGAUGCGAAAGCGUGGGGAGCAAACAGGAUUAGAUACCCUGGUAGUCCACGCCGUAAACGAUGUCUACUUGGAGGUUGUGGCCUUGAGCCGUGGCUUUCGGAGCUAACGCGUUAAGUAGACCGCCUGGGGAGUACGGUCGCAAGAUUAAAACUCAAAUGAAUUGACGGGGGCCCGCACAAGCGGUGGAGCAUGUGGUUUAAUUCGAUGCAACGCGAAGAACCUUACCUACUCUUGACAUCCAGAGAACUUUCCAGAGAUGGAUUGGUGCCUUCGGGAACUCUGAGACAGGUGCUGCAUGGCUGUCGUCAGCUCGUGUUGUGAAAUGUUGGGUUAAGUCCCGCAACGAGCGCAACCCUUAUCCUUGUUUGCCAGCGAGUAAUGUCGGGAACUCCAGGGAGACUGCCGGUGAUAAACCGGAGGAAGGUGGGGACGACGUCAAGUCAUCAUGGCCCUUACGAGUAGGGCUACACACGUGCUACAAUGGCGCAUACAGAGGGCAGCAAGCUAGCGAUAGUGAGCGAAUCCCAAAAAGUGCGUCGUAGUCCGGAUUGGAGUCUGCAACUCGACUCCAUGAAGUCGGAAUCGCUAGUAAUCGUGGAUCAGAAUGCCACGGUGAAUACGUUCCCGGGCCUUGUACACACCGCCCGUCACACCAUGGGAGUGGGCUGCAAAAGAAGUAGGUAGUUUAACCUUCGGGAGGACGCUUACCACUUGGGUUCAUGACUG